RNAcentral lists this long non-coding RNA (223 nucleotides) under Vombatus ursinus (common wombat). RNAcentral describes it as "lncRNA (ENSVURG00010023049.1)". Lineage: Eukaryota; Metazoa; Chordata; Mammalia; Diprotodontia; Vombatidae. The record is from RNAcentral.
CCGUACUCUACGGGGGUAGUUUUCUUCUACUCUGUCCUGAGCCAACCUGCGGCCGGCUGCGGGGCUCUACCUUCGGUGGCCUCUGCUCUGCCCCAGGAGGACAGCCUGGAGGGAGAGGGAAUGGCUCCUGCCCUGACAGCUAGGCCGGGGAAGGUGAGUGUCACUUGCUGCUUUCCUGAAAUACAUCUCAGGCCAGAGAUGGGGGGUAGGUUUCUUUGUCCUG